GACGAACGCUGGCGGCGUGCUUAACACAUGCAAGUCGAACGGAAAGGCCCUGCUUUUGUGGUGUGCUCGAUUGGCGAACGGGUGAGUAACACGUGAGUAACCUGCCCUUGACUUUGGGAUAACUUCAGGAAACUGGGGCUAAUACCGGAUAGGAGCUCCUGCUGCAUGGUGGGGGUUGGAAAGUUUCAGCUGUUGGGGAUGGACUCGCGGCUUAUCAGCUUGUUGGUGGGGUAGUGGCUUACCAAGGCUUUGACGGGUAGCCGGCCUGAGAGGGUGACCGGCCACAUUGGGACUGAGAUACGGCCCAGACUCCUACGGGAGGCAGCAGUGGGGAAUAUUGCACAAUGGGCGGAAGCCUGAUGCAGCAACGCCGCGUGCGGGAUGACGGCCUUCGGGUUGUAAAACGCUUUCGCCUGUGACGAAGCGUGAGUGACGGUAAUGGGUAAAGAAGCACCGGCUAACUACGUG
RNAcentral lists this ribosomal RNA (468 nucleotides) under uncultured bacterium. RNAcentral describes it as "partial 16S ribosomal RNA". It matches the Rfam family "Bacterial small subunit ribosomal RNA", at positions 28 to 507 of the family's 1533-position model. The record is from RNAcentral.